UCAAGCUACUAAGGGCAUACGGUGGAUGCCUAGGCGCCAAGAGCCGAAGAAGGACGCGGUAAGCUGCGAAAAGCCACGGGGAACUGCAAGCAAGUAUUGAUCCGUGGAUAUCCGAAUGGGGAAACCCGGCCAUCGUCAUGGAUGGUCACCCGCAAGGGAGGGAACCUGGGGAACUGAAACAUCUAAGUACCCGGAGGAAGAGAAAUCAAACGAGAUGCCCACAGUAGCGGCGAGCGAAGAGGGCAGAGCCCAAACCGAGAAGCUCCGGCUUUUCGGGGUUGAGGACCGGCAGAAUCGAAGUCAGGCCUAGUUGAAUUACCUGGAAAGGUAAGCGAGAGAGGGUAAAAGCCCCGUAGACGAAAGGCAGAGCAGAGAGGCCGAGAUCCAGAGUACCACGAAGCACGAGGAAUUUUGUGGGAAGCAGGGGGGACCACCCUCCAAGGCUAAAAACUACUUGGCGACCGAUAGCGCAUAGUACCGUGAGGGAAAGGUGAAAAGAACCCCGGGAGGGGAGUGAAAUAGUACCUGAAACCGUAUGUCUACAAGCAGUCGAAGCGAAAGCGACGGCGUGCCUAUUGAAGAAUGAACCAACGAGUUAUCUGCACUAGCGAGGUUAAGUGGAAGACACGGAGCCGCAGCGAAAGCGAGUCUUAAGAGGGCGCUAGUUAGUGUAGGUAGACCCGAAACCGCAGUGAUCUACCCAUGUCCAGGUUGAAGCGCAGGUAAAAUUGCGUGGAGGACCGAACCGGUGAGCGUUGAAAAGCUUUCGGAUGAGAUGUGGGUAGGGGUGAAAUUCCAAUCGAACGCGGAGAUAGCUGGUUCUCCCCGAAAUAGCUUUAGGGCUAGCCUGAGGUAGUAAGUAUAGGCGGUAGAGCACUGAUCGGGCUAGGGGCCGUAAAGGUUACCGAACCCUGUCAAACUCCGAAUGGAUAUACUGUAGAGCCUUGGAGUCAGACUACGAGUGAUAAGAUCCGUGGUCAAAAGGGAAACAGCCCAGACCACCAGCUAAGGUCCCCAAUGUCGUACUAAGUGGAAAAGGAUGUGGGGUUUCAUAAACAACCAGGAUGUUGGCUCAGAAGCAGCCACCAUUUAAAGAGUGCGUAAUAGCUCACUGGUCGAGAGACCCUGCGCCGAAGAUUCCCGGGGCUAAAGUACGAAACCGAAGCUGUGGCUGUAUACGUAAAGUAUACGGGGUAGGGGAGCGUUCCCAUAGGGUAGAAGUCGAACUGGAAGGUUCGGUGGACUUGUGGGAAGUGAGAAUGUUGGUAUGAGUAGCGAAAAGAAAGGUGAGAAUCCUUUCCACCGAAAGCAUAAGGAUUCCUGAGCAACGAUCGUCGUCUCAGGGUAAGUCGGGACCUAAUCCGAGGCAGAGAGCGUAGGAGAUGGACAACUGGUUGAUAUUCCAGUACCGGUAGUAAUUGUUUGAGCAAUGGAGUGACACAGAAGGGCAGGCAAGCAUGCGAAUGGAAGAGCAUGUGUAAGCGUGUAGGGUGGUGCAUAGGCAAAUCCGUGCACUGAAAGCCUGAGGCGUGAUGCGGAGUGAGCAGAGAUGCGAGCGAAGUUGUUGACCCCACACUGUCGAGAAAAGCUUCUAGUGAGAGAGCUACCGCCCGUACCGUAAACCGACACAGGUAUGCGGGGAGAGAAUCCUAAGGUGCGCGGGAGAACCCUCGUUAAGGAACUCGGCAAAAUGUACCCGUAACUUCGGGAUAAGGGUAGCCACUGUUGUGAAGUCCCAUGCGGAUGGAGCAUAGAGUGGUCGCAGAGAAGAGGCCCAAGCGACUGUUUACCAUAAACACAGGUGCCUGCUAAAGCGAAAGCUGACGUAUAGGUGCUGACACCUGCCCAGUGCCGGAAGGUUAAGGAAGGAUGUUCGGAGUAAUCCAAAGCAUUCGACUGAAGCCCCGGUGAACGGCGGCCGUAACUAUAACGGUCCUAAGGUAGCGAAAUUCCUUGUCGGGUAAGUUCCGACCCGCACGAAAGG
Molecule: ribosomal RNA, 1984 nt
Filed under: human gut metagenome
Description: bacterial LSU rRNA
Rfam family: Bacterial large subunit ribosomal RNA
Source: RNAcentral